CCUACGGGAGGCUGCAGUGAGGAAUAUUGGUCAAUGGACGAGAGUCUGAACCAGCCAAGUAGCGUGAAGGAUGACUGCCCUAUGGGUUGUAAACUUCUUUUAUAAAGGAAUAAAACGAGGCACGUGUGCCUUUUUGCAUGUACUUUAUGAAUAAGGAUCGGCUAACUCCGUGCCAGCAGCCGCGGUAAUACGGAGGAUCCGAGCGUUAUCCGGAUUUAUUGGGUUUAAAGGGAGCGUAGAUGGGUUGUUAAGUCAGUUGUGAAAGUUUGCGGCUCAACCGUAAAAUUGCAAUUGAUACUGGCAGUCGUGAGUACAGUUGAGGUAAGCGGAAUUCGUGGUGUAGCGGUGAAAUGCUUAGAUAUCACGAAGAACCCCGAUUGCGAAGGCAGCUUACUAAACUGUGACUGACAUUAAUGCUCGAAAGUGUGGGUAUCAAACAGGAUUAGAUACCCCAGUAGUC
RNAcentral lists this ribosomal RNA (460 nucleotides) under uncultured bacterium. Its description in RNAcentral is "partial 16S ribosomal RNA". It matches the Rfam family "Bacterial small subunit ribosomal RNA", at positions 338 to 795 of the family's 1533-position model. The record is from RNAcentral.